Molecule: long non-coding RNA, 9309 nt
Filed under: Salvia miltiorrhiza (redroot sage)
Lineage: Eukaryota; Viridiplantae; Streptophyta; Magnoliopsida; Lamiales; Lamiaceae
Description: long non-coding RNA (SMIL_LNC006270)
Source: RNAcentral
GAUGAUAUAUAUAUAGAAGUUUUACAGUUUUGGCGUGCACAGGUUAUUUAAAUAAAACUCCUGUGUGAUGCUUGAGAUGGCAAGUUCAAUAUAUAGCUCUAAGAGCAAACUUUAAAGUUAUUUCGGCAUGUGACCAUUGAGUACCUUUUUAGUACUCAGCCCUGCAUAUGUUUCUAAAUGUGCAGGUUAAGCUGUGAUGCAGAUGGAGGCGAGCAGAGCAAAGCUUUUGAAGUAUAAGUAUUAAAUUAGGCUCAGGAUUCCAUGUCUUCAUACAUGUAAUCCACUUAAGUAUUUCCGCUGCAACACUUAGUGUAUUUUACUUUAUUGAUGUGUUGUAUAGAUUUUAAAUCAAUAGCUUUGAGAAUUAUGUCACUGGAAAAUUUGACAACUUGUCGUUGUGUUAUUGUGAGUUGUCUGCCUAAGCAGUUUAGAAAAGAUUGCUCAUGAGUUUUAAAAGUGAUUUGCUCAUGAUUAUUCAAUACUAAAGUAAUUCAUCGUUAAAGAGGGUUCAUUAUUAUUAUUUAAAUCUCUUUCCUUUUUCAUUUUCUUUCUCCUUUUUCCCAGUCACACCUUUCCCCGGCUUAACUAUACACUAUAUUAGGCCGGGCUGUGACAAAGUGGUAUCAGAGCAGGUCGUUUGCUCUGAGCCUAAAUAUUCCUUUGAGUCUAGUCUAAAUUUGAAUCUUUGGACUAGUGUGAGUAAUAUAGUAAAAGCUCUGCUCUCCAUCUCAUCCAACUUAGCCAGGUACGGAUUUUCAGAGUUUUGAAGUAGCAUGUUACAUUUUUAAACAAGUUUUAGAUAUGAGUUGCAGUUUUGCAAGUAUUAGUAUGAUGGAAACUUAUAUAUUUUAAAAUGAGCAUGGACAACAUGAGUUAUUUAUGAGUAUCCUCUGCCUAUACGAACUUUUGAGAUUUGAAUGGAUAAAAGUGUUAUUCAUAUUUUAAUAUUUGUGUUUUGAUAUGUGGAUGGAGAUAUAGAAAGUUUGAUGAUACAAUAAUGACGUAUAUCAGUCGCGAUGUAACCUAGUACUAGUAGUGAUGUUAUACUAGUUACGGCACCACAAUUAAUACUAAGAGCUUUUUGCAACAUAUAUUCCUAUCUUUCGUAUGAGAACUCAUUGAGGCAAAUUUUCUCAUGAUAUGAAGUGAUCAAAGUGGUCAUNUGAGAAGGAGGCCUACUUCUCAACACUCAGAGUUAUUAUGAUGCGUAGAUAUGGUACAUACAUGUUAAUUGUCAGCAGACGUAUAUGAUGUUAUGAUGAUUAUAGAGAAGUUUUUAUAGUUUUGCAUGCACAGGUUAUUUAAAUAAAACCCAUGUGUGAUGCUUGAGAUGGCAAGUUCAAUAUAUAGCUCUAAGAGCAAGUUUAAAGUUAUUUCGGCAUGUAACCACUGAGUGCUAUUUGAUACUCAGCCCUGCGUAUGUUUCUAAAUAUGCAGGUUAAGCUGUGAUGUAGAUGGAAGCAAGCAGAGCAAAGCCUUCAGAGUAUAUUAAAUUAGGCUCAGGAUUCCAUGUCUUCAUACAUGUAAUCCACAUGAAUUAUCCGCUGCAACACUCAGUCUAUUCUACUUUGUUGAUGUGUUGUAACAAUAUUUUUAAAUCAAUAGCUUUGAGUAAUUAUAAUCACUUGAAAGUUAGACAACUUGUCGUUGUGUAUUGUAAGUUGUCUACUCAUGAGUUUUAAAAGUGAUUGCUUAUGAUUAUCCAAUAUUAAAGUAAUUCAUCGUUAAAGAGGGUUCAUUAUUAUUAUUUAAAUCUCUUUUAUUUUUCAUUUUCUUUUUCCCUUCCCCAGUCACACAUUUUCCCUGACUUAACUGUUGUUAGUUUAGGUCGGGCUGUGACAAAGUGGUAUCAGAGCAGGUUGUUUGCUCUGAGCCUAAACAUUCCCUUGAGUCUAGUCUAAAUUUGAAUCUUUAGACUAAAAUGAGUAAUAUAGUAAAAGCUCUGCGCUCCAUCUCAUCCAGCAUAGCCAGGUACUGAUUUUCAGAGUUUUAAAGAAUCAAUUUACAGUUUGAAAGAGUUUGAGUUGUUAAUAUUGCAACUUUGCAAGAAAGUUAUUAAUAUUGCAAUUUUGCAAGAAUCUAGUAUUUGGAGAAGUUUACAUGUUUACAAGUGAGUGAAUAUGAAUAACAUGAGUUAUUUAUGAGUAUCCUCUGCCUAUACGAACUUUUGAGAUUUGAAUGAAUAAAAGUGUUAUUCAUAUAUUAAUAUUUAUAUUUUGAUAUGUGGAUGGAGAUAUAUAUAGACAGAUUGAUGAUACAAUAAUGAUGUAUAUCAGUCGCGAUGUAACCUAGUACUAGUAGUGAUGUUAUACAGUUAGGGCACCACAAUCAGUACUAAGAGCUUUUUGCAACAUAUAUUCCUAUCUUUCGUAUGAGAACUCAUUGAGGCAAAUUUUCUCAUGAUAUGAAGUGAUCAGAGUGGUCAUUUACUAGGUUAUUAUUGAGCUUUACUUGCUUAGAUGAUUGAAUUUUUGUGUAUGAGUUUUAUAACUUAGUUGGAUUAUAGUUAAGUAGGAGUUUGACUUUACUGAUGGGAUGAAAGCUCAAUUUUGGAGAUUUUGUGUAUUUACUCGGCAUGAUGUCUCAAAGAAGCAGUGGAAAUCUGCCAUCCGCCAUGUGAAUAAUUUAGAGAACUACUCGUCCCCAUCAACUUGAAAGAAGAAUAGCAGAAGUUUUUCAUCGUCAAGAUCCCUUUAUUGCGAGUUAAGCGGUAGAGUUUCAAAGAGGCAGUAGAGUUUUACGAGUUUCGCUUCCUUAGAUGCAAUGAUCAAGAGCGCCUUCUUGUAUGUUAUUUCAACUACAAGGAUCGACUUAUNAGUAGUGGGAGACGAAGCAGAAGAUAUAUACCCUCGAGCGAUUAGAGAAUCUUAUUUGGGGCCAGUUCACAGAAGUUUUUAUGAAGAAUAUGUUUCCAGAAGCCGUCGUCAGCAAAAAGGAGACGUAAUUUAACAAUUUAAAGCAAUAGAAGAAGACAGUAGCUGAAUGUGAUCAAGGGUUUUGUGAUAUAGCUGGAUAUAUGCCUUAUAAGGCUGACACAUAUAUUAGUUGUAACUUUUGAUAGAGUUUUGAUGUAGUGCCUUUGCUUGUUGGCAAACCAAAUAUUCUUUCAGCUAUUGCAAGCCAAACAUUCCUUCAACUAAUGAAGAUAUCUCUUUUCCAUUUCAUCCCUCCCACCAAAAGUUUUGUUUGAAAUCUUGAUAUAAUUUAGUGCUUCUGUGGUGGGCAGUAUAUAGCGUAUCAUGAGCUUUACUCGUGAUUUUAUUUCUCAACUGUUCAGUAUUGGGUACACAACUUUUCUCAAACAUGAUAGCAGUACCCCUAGCUUUUUGGCAAGUAUUGACCCCUUCUAUCAAAAUCCUUACCCAUAAUUUUUCUCCUUUUUAUUUUCCCCAUGUACUUUAACAAUUCUUCUUCUCAAAUCAAAAAUCAUUGUUAACAUUGCAAUUACAGCUUCUCUUGUUUGCUGUGGUAGAACCAUUUGUAAAUCCAACUUUCAAAUCCUUGAUGAGAAUUUUUCUUCAUGGGUAAGGAGAAAUCCUUAGUAAACUUGAGUUUUUCUACUCAAGGCAUCCACUAUUAUAUUGGCUUUGCGUGGGUGAUAAUUUAUUCUACAAUCAUAGUCCCUUACUAAUUCGAGCUAUAUUCCUUGUCUCACACUUAGAUCUUUUGCUCGAAUAAGUAUUUUAAACUUUUAUGAGGUGUAUCAAUUCCACAUCUCGUUUCAGAAUACCAUUGUUGCUAGUUCCAAGUUAUGUUGAGCAAUUCAGUUCUUGUGGUCUAUGUUCUCAUGACCCAAUAACAAUAACUCUUUCACUUUGCAACAAUGCACAACCAAGUCCAUCUUUGAUACACAGGACCAAUUUUAUAUGGUCUUUCAACUUUGAGAAUUCGGCCAUAUUUUAAAAUAGCCUUUCAUCCAACAACAGAUGAGCAAUUUGAGAGAAAUCUUUAAACCUUAGAAGAUGUGACAUAGACUAUUGUACUAGAGCGAAGAAGUGGCGACCUUAGCAGUAGGGACACUGGCGAUCGUAAGAAAUUCUGGGUUCCAAAACUCUCUUUCCAAAAAUGAUUUUUCAGAAGGAGCGAAUUCCCCGCAAACAAGGCAGGAGACGACUAUCUCAAGGUGCAUCACGCGUACUCAGAAGCCGCAUUAUGCACUAGAUUGAAGGAUGAAUUGGGAAAACCUUUUGCUAGUAAUUGAAUUGGCCUACAAUUAUAGCUUUCGGGCAAUAAUUGAUAUGACACCAUAUGGAGCUUAUUGUGGAAAGAAAUAUUGAUCUCCACUCUAUUGACAUGAGGUAAGUGAAAGAAAAGUAACAGGACCUGAUGCGCUUGAAGAAAUGAUUACGCUUAUCCGACAAAUUCAACAACUGCUCAACGAACCUCAAGAGCGACAGAAAUUUUUUUUUGUAGAUACUCGUUGAUUUGAUUUGAAAUUUUUGAAAUAGGGGAUGAAGUUUUUCUCAGUGUUCCGCAUUCUAAGAAUGCACAAAUUCGAUGUGAAAGAGAAGUAUCUAGCAUUAUUCUCUGACGUAGUCAAAUUUCGAGGACGAAAUUUCUUUAAGGGGGAGAGGAUGUAACACCCAGCAUUUUCACUACAGUAUAUAUAUUAUUUUCUAUUAUCUAAAAGAAGAAAGAGAAGUAGAAUCACUGAGAUGAGAUGAGAUAUUAUUAUAAUACCUUGAGCUUUUAAUUCAAUGAUUGCAUAAUUUGAAUAAUUAAGUAUUCUUGCUUUCUUUAUUAUUUUCAUUCUUGGAAGCAAGUUUAUAAUUCCUAGUUAAAGGGAUUAUUUUAUUAUUUUUCAGAGAUGAGAUUGGUGAUAAAUACGAAAUAUUAUUAGUCGACUUAUUGCUCGGCUAAUUGAAGUGACGGAUGUUAUUUAAUUAUUUAUCUAUGAGCUUUCUUUUUUUUUAAUAGUGAUAGUUUGAGGAAAUUUAGUAUAUCGUGGACGGAGGGAGUAUUAUAUUUCAUUGGGUGUAUAAUAAUUUAUUAAUUUAGAUAGCUAUCAAAUACUACUUGAGCUUGGAGCACAAGUUUCGUGAGUCAUAUUAGUGUAGAGAAUUGCUUUUCUAAUUUAUUCUUAUUUUUAUUUGAUCUAAUUUGAGGGCCACAAAAUAAGGCUUAUAGGAAAAGCCAAGUUUUACCUCUUAUUAUUUAUUUCUUCUACAAACCUCAAAUGGGCCGAUCAAGUAAGGGAAAUGAGGUUUGAAUUAUAUUGCUCAUUUCUAUAAUUGGAUUUAAAUUUUUAAUGUUUGAGAUAAGCAUUUAUUUAUUGUAAAGUGUAUAUAUUAGUUUGAGGAGAUUCAUUUCCUUUUCUUCUCCCCAAAACAGUCGACCUUCUCCCCUCUCUCUUUAUGGAACCUCAGUUUAGUUUGCUUUCAACCUUCAAGAAGAUUCAGCCGCCACCUCUGCUCCGACCGCCGUCGGCUGCCGUCGAGUCCAAGUCCGACGUCUCGUCUGUUCUUCCCUGGUGCCCCUCGCACUACUCUCAUCUUCUCUCAAUUUAGCGAAGAACCCAAAUGAGAAGCCCUAAUUUCAAAAUCCGAAAUCGCCGUCACCCGAGCCCGAAAUUCGGCAAUACAGCAUCCUCCUCUUCGACGUGGUCGAAGUUCUCGCACCGGAAGUCCUCGCCGUUCCCCCUUCUUUUCCGGUGUGGAGCCCUAAUUCUUAGUAGAAGGAAAUUACUACUGUCGCGACUGGAAGGCCAACGAACGGCUGAGCUUCGCCCAUCUCUGCCUUGAAUCCAUGCUCGAGAAGGAGAGAAAGGAAAACGAGCCCUAAUUCUUUUCUACUCCCGCCGUCAUGGUUCGGCUGCCACCUCCGCCGUCUGUGGAAGACCGGCGAUUCAGCGGCGCCGCUCCAUUCACAACGCCGCUACUGCUGCUACACGAUCCCCUCCGAGGCAGCAAGCGCUGCUGUCAUCAUCGUCGUCUUGGCUCGACUGAACAGGGUCGCGUCCCUCGUCGUCGAAAAGUUAGUAUUCUACUUGUUAUUGUAGAAAGUGUUUGAUGUUGCUUGUGAUUUCUGAGUUCAUGCCAUAAUAAUCGAGGCAUAGGUGACUUCUCUCUAAGAUUCCUAAAGUGAGAUAUUAAACAAAAUGUUAUAUGUUUCUAAGUUAGUAAUUACUUUAAAUUAAGUAAAAUGAUGGCAGGAAUCAUAGCUUCAGCCCAAAGCUUCGAUUUUUGACCCUCCCUCAAGAACCCCAGAAUUUCAUCUUCUUUAUAUUUGUAUCAAUUGACUAUGUAUACAUGUCUAUAUGUAUGUGAAGAAUUGAUUGGGAUUUAUUUGGGUAUUUAUUCACAAGAAAACAUGAUUCCCUAAUAGUUUAGUUUAAGUGGAUUUGGGAGUUCUUGGAAUAAGCUAGCUACAUGUUUGAUGCUUGUGUAAUUGUACUCCUUGAAUUGUAAAAUGAGAUUAUAUGACAAUAGUUGGAGGAUAUCAAGCAUGCUACUAUAUGUUGAUGUGUUGAACAUGAAUUACGUUUAAGCUAAAGCAUGCUAAUGUGUAGUAAGAUGAUGUAUUUGAGUUACUAUAGCUUUUAUUUGAUAAAAAUAUGAGUUAUAUGUUGAGUUGAGAUGAAGAAGGUAUUGCUGUUGGUUUUGCUGUACAGGACAGUACCUUGUAAGGUAUUUUCGGGAGUGUUCCUGUGAUCCAAAUAACUUGAAUUUUACUGUAUAACUUCAUCAUGAGUAGUAGAUCUCUGCAAAUUUCAGCUAAAUCCGAGACCAAUAGACAUGUCAAACUAUUUUCUGAAAUGUACUGCGUGAAGCAGCGUAGUUCAGUGGCAGAUUCUACCUUUGGUGAUAUAACUUCUUAUACACUUGAGAUAUUGUAUUUUUGUAAAUUUCUAAGAAAUAUAGACGUUAAUAGCUUUCUAAAAAGGUAAAGCUCGUAUUUUUCCUUGAAGCGAUUGAUUUUAUAUGAUUUUCCAAAGUUAGGAUUCAAAUGUGUAUGUGUCUUGAUUAAACUUGUGAUUGGUAGUUAAUUGAGAUCCUACACUACUAAACUUGAAUUGAGGUUUUAUUGUUCUAACUACCUAUUGAGGAUUAUUGAUUACUAAAGCUUGUUAAUAUGAUAGUUGAUGGACAUAAUUAUGUUUAUAUGAUUAAUUACUUUGGGAUUUUGUGUUUUACAUGUAUGGUUAGUUGUAAACUGAUCUCUAUGGAAUGGAUUUGUUUACUUCUAAACUUUCUCAAGUAGAGGAAUUCCUAUAAGAUAGGAAUAUUAGUUUAUACUUUCUUAAAGUUCAUAAGAGUUAGUAUAUUGGUUAGUUUAGUUGAUUCAACCCUAGCUCUGCAGAAGAUUAAAAGUUUAUUGGGAUGUUAUUUAUAGCUAAUUCUUCUUAUCUAGUUAUCCAAUCUUAUUUUAGAAUCUUGCUAUUAUGAAGGUGACAGUAGCAAUGAUAGAUAAGUGAGCAAGAGUUUCUACAUCGUUAAGCGUAUCAGGUGGGCUUUCUAAACUCAUAAUUUGAAGUGCGCACUAUUUAAUUAUGUUAUUAUAUGAAUGAAGUUAUAUUAAAGUUAUUGACUUGCCAAAACUUUUAUGAGCUUGUAUGUUACCAUCUACGAGAGAUAGACGAUAUCGGCCCUAUGCUGAAGCGAGAUGUCAGUAAGGGUUUGUGCACAUAGUUGUGACCGUGAGUCAUCGAGCGGGUUGGCCGGUCACUGUGAUCGGGAGCCUUCGGGCCGAUCACUGUGUUUGAGAAGGAGGCCUACUUCUCAACACAAGGUUACAUGAUGCGUAGUUAUGGUACAUACAUGUUAAUUGUCUGCAGACGUAUAUGAUAUUAUGAUGAUAUAUAUAUAGAAGUUUUACAGUUUUGGCGUGCACAGGUUAUUUAAAUAAAACUCCUGUGUGAUGCUUGAGAUGGCAAGUUCAAUAUAUAGCUCUAAGAGCAAACUUUAAAGUUAUUUCGGCAUGUGACCAUUGAGUACCUUUUUAGUACUCAGCCCUGCAUAUGUUUCUAAAUGUGCAGGUUAAGCUGUGAUGCAGAUGGAGGCGAGCAGAGCAAAGCUUUUGAAGUAUAAGUAUUAAAUUAGGCUCAGGAUUUCAUGUCUUCAUACAUGUAAUCCACUUAAGUUAUUCCGCUGCAACACUUAGUGUAUUUUACUUUAUUGAUGUGUUGUACAGAUUUUAAACCAAUAGCUUCGAAAAUUAUGUCACUUGAAAAUUUGACAACUUGUCGUUAUGUAUUGUGAGUUGUCUGCUUUGAGUUUUAGAAAAGAUUGUUUAUGAUUACCAAAUAUUUAGGUAAAUUAUUGUUUAAGCAAGAUGAUUAUUUUUAUUGAAACCUCUUUUAUUUUCCAUUUUCUUUUUCCAUUUCCCCAGUCACAUUUUCCCCGGCUUAACUGUUGUUAGCUUAGGUCGGGCUGUGACAGAGUGGUAUCAGAGCAGGUCAUUUGCUCUGAGCCUAAAUAUCCUUUUGAGUCUAGUCUAAAUUUGAAUCUUUGGACUAGUAUGAGUAAUAUAGUAAAAGCUCUGCUCUCCAUCUCAUCCAGCUUAGCCAGGUACGGAUUUUUCAGAGUUUUAAAGUAGCAUGUUACAUUUUUAAACAAGUUUGAGAUAUGAGUUGCAGUUUUGCAAGUAUUAGUAUGAUGGAAACUUAUAUAUUUUAAAAUGAGCAUGGACAACAUGAGUUAUUUUUGAGUAUCCUCUGCCUAUACGAACUUUUGGAUUUGAAUGGAUAAAAGUGUUAUUCAUAUAUUAAUAUUUAUAUUUUGAUAUGUGGAUGGAGAUAUAGACAGUUUGAUGAUACAAUAAUGAUGUAUAUCAGUCGCGAUGUAACCUAGUACUAGUAGUGAUGUUAUACAGUUAGGGCACCACAAUUAGUACUAAGAGCUUUUUGCAACAUAUAUUCCUAUCUUUCGUAUGAGAACUCAUUGAGGCAAAUUUUCCCAUGAUAUGAAACGACCGAAGUAGUCAUUUACUAGGUUGUUGAGCUUUAAUUGCUUAGAUGAUUGAAAUUUUGUGUAUGAGUUUUAUACUUUAGUUGGUUUAUAGUUAUGUAGCAGUUUGACUUUACGGAUGGAAUAAAAGCUCAAUUAUGGGGAUUUUGUGUAUUUACUCGGCAUGAUAUCUCAAAGAAGAAAUGGAAAUUUGCCAUCCGCCAUGUGAAUAAUUUAGAGGAAAGUUUUUCAUCAUCAAGAUCCCCCUAUUCAUAGUAGAGUUUCACGAGUUUCGCUUCCUUAGAUGCAAUGAUCAAGAGCGCCUUCUUGUAUGUUAUUUCAACUACAAGGAUCGACUGAUUCUUAGUGGGAGACGAAGCAGAAGAUACAUACCCUCGAGCGAUUAGAGAAUCUUAUUUGGGGC